This 484-nucleotide ribosomal RNA is filed under the name uncultured bacterium. RNAcentral describes it as "partial 16S ribosomal RNA". It matches the Rfam family "Bacterial small subunit ribosomal RNA", at positions 30 to 507 of the family's 1533-position model. The record is from RNAcentral.
AUUGAACGCUGGCGGCAGGCCUAACACAUGCAAGUCGAGCGGAUGAAGGGAGCUUGCUCCUGGAUUCAGCGGCGGACGGGUGAGUAAUGCCUAGGAAUCUGCCUGGUAGUGGGGGAUAACGUCCGGAAACGGGCGCUAAUACCGCAUACGUCCUGAGGGAGAAAGUGGGGGAUCUUCGGACCUCACGCUAUCAGAUGAGCCUAGGUCGGAUUAGCUAGUUGGUGGGGUAAAGGCCUACCAAGGCGACGAUCCGUAACUGGUCUGAGAGGAUGAUCAGUCACACUGGAACUGAGACACGGUCCAGGCUCCUACGGGAGGCAGCAGCGGGGAAUAUUGGACAAUGGGCGAAAGCCUGAUCCAGCCAUGCCGCGUGUGUGAAGAAGGUCUUCGGAUUGUAAAGCACUUUAAGUUGGGAGGAAGGGCAGUAAGUUAAUACCUUGCUGUUUUGACGUUACCAACAGAAUAAGCACCGGCUAACUUCGUG